Molecule: ribosomal RNA, 241 nt
Filed under: Coptotermes gestroi
Lineage: Eukaryota; Metazoa; Arthropoda; Insecta; Blattodea; Rhinotermitidae
Description: partial large subunit ribosomal RNA
Source: RNAcentral
ACUAUCUUAGUUCUUUAAUUGUGAUCUGGAAUGAAUGGCUUGACGAGGCACGGGCUGUCUUAGUGUUGAAUGUUUUAUUGAAUUUGGUCUUUGAGUUAAAAUUCUUAGAUGUUUUUGUGGGACGAGAAGACCCUAUAGAGUUUGACAUUUGGUUUAUUUACUUGUUUGUUGUUUGUUUAUUUUUGGUGAGUGGGCUUUUUGUUUCGUUGGGGCGAUGAGAGGAAUGUACUUAACUCCUCUU